Molecule: long non-coding RNA, 11018 nt
Filed under: Homo sapiens (human)
Lineage: Eukaryota; Metazoa; Chordata; Mammalia; Primates; Hominidae
Description: non-protein coding PRR7-AS1:8
Source: RNAcentral
GCUAUAGGGCGGCGGCGGCUCUGCCAUCAGCACCGCCUCUUCGUAACACGGUGGUUUGGACAUGUCCGAUUCCGCUGCGGAGUGGGAGGCGGUCGGAGGAGGUGAGGCCGCCGGUUCCCAGCCUCUCGCAGAGGCCCCGGCCAGGGGCCGCCCGCGCCCCAGCCCUAGCCCGAACCCGAGCCCGCCGCCGCCCGUGUUCUCCCGGAGGCUGCGGAUGGAAGCCCUGAGGGUAAGCAGCGAGCCCUCCAACGCCCGCCCACUUCCGGCGGCCCGGAUCGCCCCCUGGCGGAGGUCGGUACUCACCUUGGCGCGGGUAGCUCCAGGGCCGUGGCGGCACCGACAGGUGCGUAGGCGGCGGGUGCGGGAGCGCGUGGUGGUGCGGGUGUGGGUGCGCGUGCGCGUGCGGCUGCGCGGGCCCGUGGUGCAGCAGCGGGUGCACGUGCACGUGCGGAUGCGAGUGCGCGUGAGCCGGCGCCUCCAGGCGGCUACGGUGCCGCCAGCGUCACUCGGGGACCCGCGGCCGGGGGCUGCCCGUGGCAGGUCUCAAGUCGUGCGCGCGCCGGCGGGGGACAGCAGCGGCGCCCGCUCCUUCCCAUGGCGCCGGCGGGCGCGCGGGCGUGCCUCACCCGGGGCCGCGCGGGACCUGUAGGGCAGACACGGGGCGCAGUGAAGGCGCGCCGCGGCCCCCAACGACUUCCCGGCCCCCGCCCGCGCCCUGCGCAGUCCGGGGAAAGCCUCCUCCGUGGGAACCUCGCGCUCCCCGGGGGCCCGGUGACGUCACCGAGGAGGGUGACGUCACGCCUCGAGGUUUCCCCGGUAGGGUUUCCCCGAUCUGAGCCCCGGCCGCCGCCGCGGAGCCCGGGCGCCGAGGGGAGCCGAGGCGGGCCAGCAGGGGGCGCGCGAAGGACGGACUCCAGCUCUGAGUCCGAACGAGAGAUUCGCCAUCCGCAGUCCCGGGGCCAAAGGGUUUCAGGAGCCUGUGCGCACCAGGUCCCUGAAGAGGCGUCUCGGCGCCGUUGCUGUGCGGCGGGGAAAGGGUGGUACAUCUCCUAGAGCCCCACAGACAGCCACCCGACGCCCUGUACAGACGCCUGGCAGCCCCUGGCUGCCCAAAGCCCGGAACAACUGGCUCCGCACCGCGCCCUCCGGGUCUCCCGCCGCUCCCGUAGGGGGGCUCAGGCGGGUGGCUCCGACUGGUAAUGCGUGCCACCGGCCCUGCCUUUGUCUGAGCCUAGCGCGCCGCGCCGGGCGUGGGCCACACUCUCUUCCUUUCCUCCAGGCGCCCUGCCUGCUCCAACUCCGCUUCCCCGCCUCCUGCCCUUGCACAGCCCCACUUGGCUCUGCCUCUGUCUUCAGGCCGCCGUCUCCCUUUCCCUCUCGCGGAGGGGAGGAAAACUAGAUGAGGGUUGGAAGCUAGUCUUUCGUACCCACCUGGUCCUGCACUCACUCCAGAUGGGCAUCUCUAGUUCCGCUUCCUCCUCUCCACAGCUGCGGGUGAGAGGGGGAACCUUGCACCCUAAGAGGGAGGUAGGAGGGAGCCCUGACUCUGAGAGUGAAGGGUGGCAGGUGACUGCUCACCGCCCCCACAGAACAGAACUGAGCCUUUCCUGAAUGCCUUAUACACACAGGUUUGAACGAAAGCCUUUGGGGUAACUGGAAUGAUUCCUAUUUUACAGACGAGGAGUUGGGGGAACAACUGGCUGUGUAGAUGGCAGGUGGUAGCACCAUAAUUUGAACCCAGGCCUGGCCACAAAACUCUAGCCUGAGUGGGGUGGGGGGUAGCGCUGCCUGGGCUACUUUGUGGGCCUCUUCCAGGAGCCCCACGGACCCUACCCUCCGCGUGCCCGAGGCACACACACACUGCUUCGAGAGCCACAGGGAGCCUGAGCCCCAGGCUGGGGGGAAGCCAGGCCAUGGCCACCCCACACUUCUCCCCAGAUGGCUCCUGUCUGACUCCAUGGCUGCCUUCAGCCACGUGCCACUUGGUGCCCUUGCCAGUCCCCUUCUCCUGGGCCUGCGUUCCAGAACAGACAAUGGCAGGAACCAUAGCUCUGCCCGCCCCCUCGACAACCCUGCCAUGAGGCUGCCAUGGUGACGCAGCCCAGAUAAAAACACGAUGCUGCCAGUCACUGGGAGUUAAUUACAUCUGUUAUUCUUUUCCUGAGCCAUCAGGAAUGCUCUGAGGAAACUGGCACUAACUAGAGGUCCCCCGGUCUGCCAGGCAGGAACAGCUCUGGGUCAGAAAAGGUAACUCUGGGGCUGGAGGUGAUGGGGUUUAGCUGAAUUAGAAAUAUCUUUCAAGGACCACGCAGAAUCCUCUCUUCAACACCACCUUGUCUGUGGUGGUUGUGCCCAUUUGAUAGACAGGGAGAUAGGCUCAGAGAGGGGAAUGACUUGCCCCAGGUCACACAGCUCAGAAGGGGAGGAGCUAGGAUUUAGCCUGAGUCUGAAUCCAAACUCUGUGCCAGAUGUAAGUGGCAGCCAUGGGGGCACUGGGCAGACAAGCCAGCUAGCAGCCAAAAUGCAUUCCCAUCCCUUCCCACCAGGGCCCUGGCAUGCCUGAUCACCAGCCCGACUCUGCUGUGGAAUAGCAGUGUGAGAAAGAGCUACAGGAUGAAGGGGAGAUGUAAUGGCAGCGCCAGGUUAGCAAGAGACAAAAGAGAGGGCCCUCUGUGCCCUGAGGGCGCCCAGCUCAGCAGGUGGGGCAUUAGGCCAUACAGGGCAGGCCACGCCCAGGACCUGCUGGGUGCCGUCAUAGCUGCAUUUUAUAAACUAGGCAACUUUGGGCCAAAGAGAGGAAGGCUCUUGCUUAAGGUCACAUAACUAGCCCCCUGGCCCCAACCUGGCUCCACCCCCAGGUGGAGUGGGUAGGGAUUUGACACUGAACGCUGUCUUCUCGGCAGUGCCACAGCAGGCCCACGGGACUGGAAUCCUGUCUGAAGCCUCCCUCCCAGGUGCUCAGUAGACUCUCAUCUAACCGACCAUAGGUGCUCAAUACAUAAACAUCAGAGGUUCAUUCAGACCUUUCAAAAUGCUCUACCUGACCAGGCCAGACUUGGCAAAGCCUCCCGAAAAAACCAUGCCCCCUUACUGCUCCUUUACUAUGUGAGCUCUUGCCCUUGUCUGGGAGCCUUUCAGACUCAGAGCCUGCCUGCAGCCUGCUGCUCCCAGCCACUCCCUCCACUGCCCACACUGCUCCAGACUGGUAGUAGCCAAUACGUGCCUCCUCCUACCUACCCAACACAUUCAGGUGCUCGGAGCGAUGCCCUGCAGAUGGACCGAAGUCUGCCAUUUGAUUACUCACGUUCUGUUUCCUGUUUCUCUUUUCUUACUUUCUUGAAGGUUAUUUGAACAUGUUUUAGGGUUGCAUCUUGAUUUAUCUGUAGUGCUUUUGAACCAUAUCGCUCUGCAUGUUUUCUCGGGCCACACACUCACUGGGAGCACGGCAGGGGGAUGAAAGCGAGACCCUUGGUGAGUUUCUUAACCUCCAAGUUGCCUCUGUUUCCUCAUCGGUGAAGAUGAAGCUAAUCAUGCAAAGGGUGUGGAGGUACCAACAGACAUUAGCUCUGAUGAUGGUGGUUUCUGAGCUGAGGAUGCAGACAUGUGUGUGUCCCCAGGGUGCUCCCUGCCUGAGGGUGGGCUCCACACUCACUCUUCGAAGCAGGCUACAGGGUGCUCCCUGCCUGAGGGCUGGGCACCACAGUCACUCUCCGAAGCAGGCUACAGGGUGCUCCCUGCCUGAGGGCUGGGCACCACAGUCACUCUCCGAAGCAGGCUACAGGGUGCUCCCUGCCUGAGGGUGGGCUCCACACUCACUCUCCGAAGCAGGCUACAGGGUGCUCCCUGCCUGAGGGUGGGCUCCACACUCACUCUCCGAAGCAGGCUACAGGGUGCUCCCUGCCUGAGGGUGGGCUCCACACUCACUCUCCGAAGCAGGCUACAGGGUGCUCCCUGCCUGAGGGUGGGUUCCACACUCACUCUCCGAAGCAGGCUACAGGGUGCUCCCUGCCUGAGGGUGGGCUCCACACUCACUCUCCGAAGCAGGCUACAGGGUGCUCCCUGCCUGAGGGUGGGCUCCACACUCACUCUCCGAAGCAGGCUACAGGGUGCUCCCUGCCUGAGGGUGGGCUCCACACUCACUCUCCGAAGCAGGCUGGCAUUCUUGUUAGUUGGCAGAUGAGAACACUUGGCUCAAGGAGCUUAAAUGACACCCAAGGGCACACAGAGCCAGGGCCUGGCUGCAUUGCUGUGGGCACCUCCCACACUGCCCUGUGCACACUUCAGCCUUACAGGCCAAAGCACCAAAGAUCUGCUACUGGGUCCUUUAUCUCAGCAAAGAGCCUACCAUUCCUUCCGUCCGCCGCAUCCUCUGCAGGGUGGCAUUUGUCCACUUCCUUUGGUCCUCCUGCCACUGCCUUGGCCAGGCCAGCAUCGUCUCUCCCCUGGCCCCCAUCACCAUGCUUGCCACUGUGCUGUGCCCCUGCCCAGCCUAGUCACUCCUCACAACACUACGCUGCCUCAGGAGCCAAUCUAGCAUUUAACAUGGCUUAGAUCUGGGCCUCUCAAAUUUAAGCAGGCAACAGAACCACGUGGAGGCUGUUAAAACAGUGCUGGGCUCCAUUCCCAGUACUGGAUUCAGUAGGUCUAGGAUGGGGCCCGAGUUUGCAUUUUAAACAAAUUUCCAGCAGAUGCUGGUACUGCAGGGCCAGGGAGCACACUUUGAGAACCACUGACCUAGGUGCUGGCCUCCCGAAUGAGCUCCUGCCAAGGCCUCUGGGGCUCACCUGAGCCACCUCACCCCUCAGGGAUGGGAAGCCCAAUGAUGCCAGGAUGUUCCGGGGUGGCCAGGGCCGAGCACCAUCGGCCUUACCAGCUGGCACCCAGUAAUUGGCUCAAGAACCACCUAUGGAAGGAGAUGCUGGAGGGCUCGUUACCUGGUUGGUCUUUUAGCUGUGGGACCGGGGGAGUACCUCAAGGGCUGGCUCUGUGUCCAAUUCAUUCCUGGGAAAUGUCAGCCAUUCACCAAAACGUCACUCAGAGAAGAGCCAUCACCCAGCCCCCGCCUGGCAGGGCAGUUCAUAAGCAAGUGGAGACCCCAUGUGUCUACGUGAAUCAAAGGAAAAGGCUGUACGGAGGCACACACCAGGGCUCUGGGGGGUGGGGAUGGAAAAUCCCGGGCAGCAGGGGCACUGGGUCACACCUGGACUUGAGGCUAGAGCUGCUGGUCUUCAAGGGAAGGGACAGGAACUCAGAGCAGGGGGUGAGGGCUGGGGGGCAGGACAGACUGACAGCCUGUCCUGUGUGCCUUGCAUACGCCAGGCCCACUACUGGUCUCUAUGCUAGUUAUCUAAGGAAAACUCAGGAGGUGGCUGCUGUUCUCUCUACAGACAAGGAUGUAGGCUCAAGGAGUGGGUCCAGCUCAGGUCUCCAUAGCCAGGUGGUGUGAAGCCCGGGUGAUGACAAAGUCCUCGGUCCCGGCAGCAAGGGCAUUUCAGGGAGCCACUGGUGACACCCUUACACCCUUCCCACAUCAACACAGAGGAACUGAGGCCAGAGAGGACUUGACAGGACUUGUCUCCACUCCCAGUCAGCCAGGCUUGGAGCUGGCCAGAACCGCCCUCCGCCUAGGCCAGGGUACUGAGUGGCAAGCACCCUUGCUUGCAGGUAGAUGACCUAACCCUGACACCAAGCCAGGAACCCAGGGCUUGGGAAACUACAAAUAAGACCACAGAGACUGAGGCCUCGGUGGGCUUGUAGGUGGAGAGCCCUCCCUCAGGCCAGUGUCUACUGCGCUCAGCUCCGGCCCUCCUCAGGGCAGGGUUUUCAGAGACCAGGUUCCUCCUCUGAAACCUCAGCCUGUGGCUCUCUGUGCCUUCAUCCCCGCAGCUGGCAUGGAAAUAAUGAUCUGACCUCCCAGGGGAGGCGGCCCCACGGGCGUGAUGGUGACACCCUGUGGGGGGCAGCCUGGGUAACAUGCAGAGUGCCGAGGGGUAGGCCUGAGCUCAAAUCUGGCUUCUGCCCUCACCGAGCCAUGUGAUCCCAUCCUGGCUACUCCCAUACCUGAGCUGGAGUUUCUUCAGCAGUAGGACCAGGGUGCCGAGGGGACAACAGAACUCCCUCUGAUGAGGGAUCACCCUGCAGCCUCAAGAGGCUCAAAUGCAGAAAGCAGCCCCUGGUGUCACAGUGUACACAGCCUGGAGGCGGCCCAGCAAAACCUGCGGUCCCUUUCCCACGGACCAGAGGUCUCAGACACAGGACCCUUAGGUUGGACACAGUUCUCAGACAUGUUUUAAAAACAAUCCAUGUUCACAAUCCAUUUUUAAAAACAUUCUGAUUAAUUGCCAACAUUUAAAAAUCCAGGAGAUUUUAUAUAAAGGUCUGGAUUUCUGGUUCAUCUUGAAAAUUGGACAGUCAGGUCAUACCAAGUCCACAUUUCACACAGUGACAAAGAUUGGAGCUGAGCGGCUCCCUGGCCCGCCUCACUCAUUCCAUUUCCCCCCUGAUCCUUGGAAGCAUGUGGGUUUCCAAUGCCUGGAGCUAGACUGAGCACCCACAGGCUGCAGCAGUGCAUGGACCCAUCUUUGCUAAAUUUUCUCUCCCACAGCCAAGACUGCAAGCUGAGCAGGCCAUGGAGCCCAUGAGCCGAGGACCAGGGCUUGGGGUUUUCCCAGGGGACUGAGGCAGCCCUUUGCUGCUUGGUCUCACCGGAGAAAAUGGAGGGAGGGAGGAAGUGAAGAAGGGAGGGAGAAAGCUGGCCCCAUCCUAUAAUGCAUCUGGGGGAGCAAGAAUGUGGCUGAUUUAGCUGGAAGAAGGAAAAAUGUACCAAGACCCGAAAGACAGGGAAUGUCCUCACUGGAGGAAAGUGAAGGAAGAAGGCUCUACAGUUCUUCUCCUGGGUUACAAGAGAAGUUAGCUAGCAGGCAGAGAGGAGCUUUGCCCCCAGAGAAGCCUGCAGUGUAGACUCAGCUCUGCCACUUACUGGUAGUGUGACCUUGGGCAAGUCACUCACCUCCCUGAGCCUCCCUUUAGAGUCUUCAUCUCUAAAAUGGGGAUAAUAAACUUACCUUGCGCAACUGUUGUAAAAAAAAAUUAGGAGAUAAUGGAUGCAGAGCACUCAACACAGGUCUCACAGAGCAGGAAGGGAAUGAAAGGCACCCGUGAGUAAUUCCCCAGGCGCCCCUGCCUGCAGGAGACUCAGGCCUGACCUCCAGGGCACCACCCAUCUAAGGGCAUCUUAUGCCAAGGCCUCCAAUGCCCCAGAUGCCAGUCACCUCUAGGAUGCCUCCCCGGAUGGGAAAGGAAACCCAAGGACGGUUGUGGUCGCUGGGAUCCUGGAUCUGAAGCCCGCGGUCGGGGCUGGCAUCUGCUGAGUCAGGCCUGGGAGAGCUGGCAGGAGGGCCAUUUCUCUCUCCAGCAUGAUGCCCGCUGAGGGGAGGUUGGGAGGGGAGCCAGAGGUCAUUUCCUCUGAGUCAGAGGCCAUUCUCCUCCCAGAGGAGCUCCCCUGGCGGACCAGGCACCUCCAUGUGGCGCGUGCCUCCCUGCCGGCCAACCUGCAUGCUACUCAGUACAGUUGGGGCAUUGUGCUCAGACAAGAAAGGGGCACUUGUGAUCCAGACAAUGGGCUGGGUCGCUCCCAUUUGGCCUGGGCUUCAGCUUCCCUGGGUCAGCAAUAUCCUUUCCUCUGCUCCUGCCCACUCUGCUUCCACCCCUCCCUGGAGAAUGGUGGCUAGGAACACGGAGCAGAGACUCACCGCGGGCCCAUGCCCGGUUUGGCACGUGCCUCGGCCGUGAGGAGGAGGAGGGAUGCAAGCUUCGCUCCUCUACCCUGGUGCCCAGCAGGCGUACACCACCACAUGCCUACUAGGAAGCCACGGGGAGGAGGACCUAGUGCCGAACCCACAGCCCUGGCCUCCGUGGACAUGCCUCCCCCCUACCCCAGCAGGGAACAGAUGACCCCUAGAGAGCGCCCCACUGUCUACCCCGAGGUCCAAGCUUGCAGAGGCCACUCUGAAGUUGGCUGUCCAUCGGCCUCUUAACUGGGCUGUUUUUCGUCCAACUUCUCUACUGCACUUAAGAUGAUUUGCCAAAAACCCCUCCACCACCAUAUUAGCUGGAACAUUUGGGGUUGAAGUGACAGAACUCCCAAACAAAUAGGUUUGAGCUGUACCCCGUCUCUACCAAAAAAAAAAAAAAAUCUGCACGCCUGUGGAGAAUCGCUUGAAUCCGGGAGGCAGAGGUUGCAGUGAGCCGAGAUCACGCCACCGCACUCCAGCCUAAGGGAGGGGGUGAGACCCUGUCUCAAAAAAAAAAAGAGAAAGAAGAAAGAGAAAGGACAGAAAGAAAGAAAAAUAAAAGAGAAAGAAAGAAGAAAGGAAAGAAAGAAAAGAAAGAAAAAGAGAAAGAAAAGAAAAAGCUUUGAGCUCAAAGGGGACUGGUUCAUGCAACUGGCAAGUCCCAGGGUAGAUUCUAGCUUUGGUCACAGUUGCUUCCAGGUGUUCCCGCAAUGGUGUCAGGCACGUAUCUGCUUCUGUUUGCAUCACUCUCAGGCAAGCUCACCCCAAGAAGUAGCGAGGACAACCCCAACAGCCCUAGGCUCAUAUCCUGCCAUCUAUCCCUGGAGGAAAACGGAACCCCAAUUCCUUCCCCAUCAUUUGAGCAAAAUACAAGCAAACAACUCCAUGAAUGAUUCUUUUUGGACUCAUUUGGGCUGAGUCUCUAUCAGUGAACCAAUCUAAGUGCCUGUGUGUUAAGGGAGAGGAUAUGUGCUCCUUAUGCAAAGGGAAUGGCCUCCCAGUACCCGCUCCCUUUUCUUUGUAUACAGGCACCCUGAUUUCAAUGGGGGAAUCACUGCCCCACGGGUGCCAUCCUGGUGAAACUGUGAACCCAAGUGCCCUGCUCCCUGACAGUGCACAGCAGGCAGGUAUCCAGCCUGGCCACUCAGACUCCUUGAGUUUGCAACUGGGCUCAAAGAGGCAAAACCAAAUGGCUCUAUCAUCUUGGUUCUGGUGGGUGUCUCCUGAUGAGAAUGGAGCCCACAACUAAGACCCCGAAGCUCCUCCAUAUCCUUGGAACACCUUCUAAGUUAGCGGGAGGACAGUUCUGUCACUUGCAACAUUCCCACCUGGCUCUCUCACUCUAGGUAUGUGUGUGGAGUAUGCGUGUGCAGGGGGUGCAAGCCCAGCCCCGUCUAAACCACAUGGACAGAGACUGGGGGUGCUUUUGUACAUGCUGGAGCAAACACCCCAACACAACCAGUAAAAACCCUUCAGGGAAUCCCCUACCUUCCAGAUGAGGCCCCAUCUGGGCCUUAACCCUGUGAUCCUUAAUCUAGCUUUCAAAGCUGGCUGUGUCUCACUGACUUCAGCUCCAGCCAUUCCUUGCUUCCACCCCUGGCCUCCCAUGCUCAGCCAUCCUAAACCACUAAAGCCCUAGACCAUCCAUCUGGCUCCUCUACUUGGGUACAUCUGACCCUGUGUCCUGGAGGGCACCAAUUCUGACACCUUCAGGGUCAAGGGGCCUCCCUGUUUGGUGCUGCCCCACCCCCAACCCUGUCAGCUCUAGAAUCCUCUCUUCCACAGUGCUGAUCACACUGGGUCCCGCUGUUCCCACGUCUGCCUCCCUACCAGACUGAGCUCCAAGCUGCCAGGGGCCUCGUCUCCAUCUGGGUCCCAGUUCCCACCAUAGAGCUGGGCAUGGAGGACAGCUCAGGGAAGCUUCUUGGGAAAUGAAUUCUGGGAGUUCCCUCUGCCAAGGACCCACUGUGUUAAGAGCUUUAAGGUGAGUUUAACCCUAGCCAAGAAGUUCCCUGGAUGCCUCCCUAGCCCAAGGGGGAGCUGGCCAGGGUGUCCUGAUCCAGGUGCAGGCAGAGUGCCUCAGGGUCCUGCACAUCCACCUGGCACGCGCUCUCUUGCAUACCUGCCCAGGGCUGGGCUUUGGUAUGACAUGCUAACACCUACCUAAAAAUCCCCCACUCCCACCUCAUAACAGCCUGGGGCAGAGGGGCAAACCCACCCCAGGCUCCUUUCUCAUGAUACAUGGGUAGGAUCCAGCUUUCCCAUCAUUACCUGGUUUCCUCCCCACCCUGCAAUGGCCACUUAACCAGUUGGAAGACCUUGAGCAGGUCCCCACUCCCCUUACUUCCCUUAGGUUGGUGGGAAGCAGCAGGCACUCCACAUGUCAUGAGUGGGGCCACAAAAGGCCCCUUCUGCCAGGCUGCUGGCUUGGCACCUUCUGGCUGUGCUUAAGCCAGGUGGUUAGUUUGGUACUCAGCACCACUCCCCAGCAGGUGGGAGUCCUGCGGUGGCUUGGGAACUCAAGGGGCUGGCUGGCUGCUUUGGUGGAUUCUCACAGCUGCCCAGAAAGGUGAUGGGUCUUACACCUACCUUUCCAUAUCAGGGAAGCGCCUGUGCAGGGCCAACUUGAAAAGUGGCCAGGCUGGGGCUUGAACCUGGAACUGUCAGCUACAAAGCUCACAUGGCUCCUGCAGCACUGGGUGCCCAGUCCAGAGGCCAGGAACAAGCUUGAUGGGGCUUACGGGGCAUUCUCAGGGAGCUGGGGACACUGGGAGUCUAUAGAGCAGUGAUGGGGUUGCCAGAUCUGGGACAGACUGGUAGGCAACAAGCUCUCAGCCCCAGAGCCCAGGCAGGAAGCUCCCCUUGAGUGCCUCCCAGUCCCCCUUCCUCCCAGGUGAAUGUCCACUUCGAGGCCGGCUCAACCACCGUCUUCAGAGAACUCUCCCACACUGGCCACAGCCUAUCUGCCAGCGUCACCCACUGUCUAGGUCUUUGCCCAUAAUGUGUCAAGGGCAAAACAGAGGGGUGGAUAUGAUGCACGUGCCUCAGCCCGGGGCCCGUACAUGGCUGGCGUCCAGCUGGGCCAGGGGAGCAGGAAGACCCCUGGAGCACCGGAAGCAAGAAAGAGGCAGGCAGGGGCGGCUAGCCAGGUUUGUGCUCGGACUAUUCACACAGAGACAUGUGGCAGCUUACGUUGGACAAAACGAGUAAUAAAAAUUGGCUUUA